AUUGAACGCUGGCGGCAUGCCUUACACAUGCAAGUCGAACGGCAGCGCGGGGCAACCUGGCGGCGAGUGGCGAACGGGUGAGUAACAUAUCGGAACAUACCCUAGAGUGGGGGAUAACGUAGCGAAAGUUACGCUAAUACCGCAUACGCACUAAGGUGGAAAGUGGGGGAUUCGCAAGAACCUCAUGCUCAUGGAGUGGCCGAUAUCUGAUUAGCUAGUUGGUGAGGUAAAGGCUCACCAAGGCGACGAUCAGUAGCUGGUUUGAGAGAACGACCAGCCACACUGGAACUGAGACACGGUCCAGACUCCUACGGGAGGCAGCAGUGGGGAAUUUUGGACAAUGGGGGGCAACCCUGAUCCAGCAAUGCCGCGUGAGUGAAGAAGGCC
This 387-nucleotide ribosomal RNA is filed under the name uncultured bacterium. RNAcentral describes it as "bacterial SSU rRNA". It matches the Rfam family "Bacterial small subunit ribosomal RNA", at positions 30 to 416 of the family's 1533-position model. The record is from RNAcentral.